RNAcentral lists this ribosomal RNA (896 nucleotides) under uncultured bacterium. RNAcentral's name for it is "bacterial SSU rRNA". It matches the Rfam family "Bacterial small subunit ribosomal RNA", at positions 8 to 916 of the family's 1533-position model. The record is from RNAcentral.
AGAGUUUGAUCCUGGCUCAGGAUGAACGCUAGCGACAGGCUUAACACAUGCAAGUCGAGGGGCAGCGCGAUGGUAGCAAUACCGUUGGCGGCGACCGGCGCACGGGUGCGUAACAGGUGUGCAAUCUGUCCAUAAUCGGGGAAUAGCCCAGCGAAAGUUGGAUUAAUGCUCCAUGUGCUGCGGGAGGGCAUCCUCCUGUAGUGAAACGUAAGGAUUAUGGGUGAGCACGCUUCUGAUUAGGUAGUUGGUGAGGUAACGGCUCACCAAGCCGACGAUCAGUAGCCGACCUGAGAGGGUGAUCGGCCACAUUGGAACUGAGACACGGUCCAAACUCCUACGGGAGGCAGCAGUGGGGAAUAUUGCACAAUGGGCGCAAGCCUGAUGCAGCAACGCCGCGUGAACGAAGAAGGCUCUUGGGUCGUAAAGUUCUGUUCUGAGGGAAGAAAACAAUGACGGUACCUCAGGAGAAAGCCCCGGCUAACUACGUGCCAGCAACCGCGGUAAUACGUAGGGGGCACGCGUUGUCCGGAAUUACUGGGCGUAAAGAGUACGUAGGCGGUUUUGUAAGCGUAUGGUGAAAGGCAUCGGCUCAACCGGUGUCAGCCGUGCGAACUGCGAGACUUGAGUGCGGGAGAGGAAAGCGGAAUUCCUGGUGUAGCGGUGAAAUGCGUAGAUAUCAGGAGGAACACCGGUGGCGAAGGCGGCUUUCUGGACCGUAACUGACGCUGAGGUACGAAAGCGUGGGGAGCAAACAGGAUUAGAUACCCUGGUAGUCCACACUGUAAACGAUGAAUACUAGGUGUGGGGGGACUGACCCCCUCCGUGCCGCAGUUAACACAAUAAGUAUUCCACCUGGGGAGUACGACCGCAAGGUUGAAACUCAAAGGAAUUGACGG